AUGGCGCCUAUUCACGUCUCCUCCUCGGAGGUCAUCCUCCUGGACGACAGCGACGACGAGGAGCUGCUUGUUAUGAACAUCGCUGACGUGACCUCGCUUGACGACCUUGACUUCUCCAACGACGGCCCCGGCAACAAGAAGACAUGUGCUGUGGACAAUACCUCCUCUCAAGAUGCUGCUGUCGACGUCGACAAUUACUCCACCAAAUCCAACGGCCUUGCCUUCUUAGACCACGACGGGCACAGAUGCGAAGUAUUAGUUUUUUCUUUUCAUAUAACUACAUAUGUUGGUUACUUGUUUCAAAAAAAAACUACAUAUGUUGGUUACACGUAUGUUUGA
RNAcentral lists this ribosomal RNA (339 nucleotides) under Triticum aestivum (bread wheat). RNAcentral describes it as "partial small subunit ribosomal RNA". Lineage: Eukaryota; Viridiplantae; Streptophyta; Magnoliopsida; Poales; Poaceae. The record is from RNAcentral.